Poecilia latipinna (sailfin molly) is the source of this 782-nucleotide long non-coding RNA. RefSeq lists it as uncharacterized. The transcript is spliced from 2 exons. NCBI's taxonomy places the organism in Eukaryota, Metazoa, Chordata, Actinopteri, Cyprinodontiformes, Poeciliidae. The record is from RefSeq and is a predicted model, not a curated record.
AUAAAAUACAAGUUUGAACCCAACCAGAAUGGAGAAAAAAAAAGAAUGUAAGUGCCACAUUUUCAAGAUGAAGGCAUCUUCAUACGUCCUCUAGUGAUUUGUUGAAAAUUGCUGGUCCACUGGGUUCCAGUUCUGAAUCUCCAUGGAUUUGGCUUCUUCCACUGCAUCUGUUGCUGUCGGUGCCUUGGGCUGCUAGUUGUGUUCCCUGCAUGCAUUCCUGAAUAGUUUUUGCAAUGCUGCAUACUCGAGUCAGGGGAGACUGUUGCCAUGGAGGGGGUGUAGCUUGGUUGGUUGGUUGGCUGGCAUGUGUCGCGGUAAUAACCACACGAAUGCAUGGAGCCAACAUUUCCCUGUAUGAAUUUUUAGACUGAAACAAGAUGAGCAGUUUAAUUCCCUUCACCUGUAAGUGCUUUUGAUGUUGUGGCUUAUCGAAUUUAUGUAUUAACAUAUUUCCCUGGGAGGCUGCAUGAAAACACUCUUAUUGCUCUUAAAGGUAUUAAAAAAAAAAAUCCUGUGUACACAUAACCAAAACUUGCAGUUAGCAAAAUAUCUUAGUCAACCUGCUGAAUGUCCAGUUCCCGCACUAAUGUGCCGGUUAUUUGAUGAAGUAAAAUUUUGCUGCGUAAAUUACACCCUCCUGAUUAAACCCCACCUACACCUAAUAAACAAGAACAGCAGUUUUCUGUUCCAGAGCAAUAUAUAGCAAAAACUGCCUGAUGAAUAGAAAGUGCUCCCUGCAUGGUAAUAAAAUUGCAGUAUUUUUUUUUUUUUUUGACGCAUCU